GAAGAUUAAAGGGAGGGGCUGUAGUUACCAGGAAUCAGUAACAAAGAGAGGAGAGGAAGAAGAAGAAGAAAAAAGAGAAGGAGAAGCUGAUGUUGCGCGUGGUGAUGCGCAGGAGAAGAGGAUAAUCUGUGCAGCGACUUGAUGCACGUUUUUUCUGUUUUGCGGCUCCUUCCGACGUGAUUUCGCCAUAUCUGUGCUAGAUUUGAGGGCGAAGUAUUUCACGGUGAGUUCUAAUCGAUUUGCAAUAGCAUGCGUCGACGAUUGAUAGUGAGCGAUGGCGGCACGUGGCAAUUUAGUGGCAGCACAUGUGGCGGCGCACGGACUUCCGGUAGUUGCGCGCAGUGAAUCCUAGGAACCCGGUUCGAGUAGAUUGAUCUUGUAUCUCGGGGAUAAUUUCACGAAAGAAAUUUAGUCAAAAAUGGUAAGUACAUAAGUACUUACAAAUAUAGGUUAAUCUAUUUAAGAUACUAAAACUAUGAUGUUUAAUAAUUGACAAUUUAUUAAUAGAUGCAGAAUUUUGACAAAA
This is a non-coding RNA of Carica papaya (papaya), 526 nucleotides long. The record is from RefSeq and is a predicted model, not a curated record. Lineage: Eukaryota; Viridiplantae; Streptophyta; Magnoliopsida; Brassicales; Caricaceae.